Molecule: ribosomal RNA, 502 nt
Filed under: uncultured bacterium
Lineage: Bacteria
Description: bacterial SSU rRNA
Rfam family: Bacterial small subunit ribosomal RNA
Source: RNAcentral
GCUGGCAGCGUGGAUUAGGCAUGCAAGGUCGAACGGGAUCCGGAAGGUAGCAAUAUCGGCCGGUGAGAGUGGCGGAAGGGCGAGGAACACGUGGGCAACCUGUCUUGAGGUGGGGAAAACCGCUGGAAACGGCGGCUAAUACCGAAUGUAGCGCCCGCUCGCAUGAGCGGAGCGCCAAAGGGGGCGAAAGCUCCCCCUCUUCGAGGGGCCCGCGCACCAUCAGCUUGUUGGCGGGUAACGGCCCACCAAGGCUCACGGUUAGCUGGUCUGAGAGGAUGGCCAGCCGCACUGGGACUGAGAUACUGCCCAGACUCCUACGGGAGGCUGCAGUCGAGGAUCAUUUGCAAUGGGCGAAAGCCUGACAAUGCGACGCUGCGUGGAGGAAUGAAGGCCCUCGGGUUGUAAACUCCUGUCAUGGGGGAAAAGGAAACCCUGCCCAAUACGCAGGGAAUUUGAUGGUACCCCAAGAGGAAGCGACGGCUAACUCUGUGCCAGCAGCUGC